This is a long non-coding RNA of Astatotilapia calliptera (eastern happy), 1981 nucleotides long. The record is from Ensembl. Lineage: Eukaryota; Metazoa; Chordata; Actinopteri; Cichliformes; Cichlidae.
UCUGUCUCCACGUUGGUUGAGUGUGGAGUAAGUGCAUAUGAGAGCAUGAGGGUGGGAAUGGAUGUUUGUGUCUGUGUGUGCCUGUAUGUUUGUGUCUAUAUGUCAGGUUGGGUGUCAGGCGCCACCUCUCUGGGGACAUCUCAGGCCCUCCAAGGUUUGGAGGCCUAUCUCCCCGUACCACCACUUCCCCUGCCAGUGGCGGACCCCCUCAGACAUCGGUGCGUUGGUGGUUCUUUGUGUCCGGGGAUGGGCGUCCAGGUACACACCGGCUCACUCCUUGGCGGCCGCUUAUCGGGGCCUGGAGCCUGGGGCUCGCUCGGGCCACUUCGGAGGUGGGGUGCCCCCGGCCUCUCGGCCUGGGGCUCGGUCACUCAGGCGCAGCUGGCUACCGGCGGAGCUCAAGGGGGGACCCACGGCAACUCCCCCUGGCUUCUGCUCCGCGGCUGCUGAGUGAGCCCUCAUCUGGGACUCUCCUCAGCUCUUUCUGGGACAGUGGCGCAGCUGCCCCUCUGUUGGUCUUCCUUGGUCUCUUGUGUUCUGGGGGCCUCUGGAUGUCUGGAGUUUUGAUCUCCUCCAUACCUGCUUCACGCCCUGGAGGACGGGGCUGUGGCCCCCCCCCACACCCUCUAGCAGAUUAUUACAUGAAGGAACCUUUAAAAAAAAAAAAAAAAACAAGCGCGUCCAUGCUCACAGGUGUACACACGGGUGAUCACACCCACAAACUACACCCUUUUUGGCUCCUACCUCAAAGCACACUGUGUUCUGUUGAUCUUAUGUGCUGCACAAUAAUGUUUAACAUUUAGUAUUUACUGUCAUAUUCCCAUAUAUCAUUGUGAUGUUGUUUAUUCUAUUACUCUUGUUCUCUUCUGCUUGUUUUCUUUUUUCUUUCUCAGCAGGUGAUCCAGGUGAUUGAUAUAUGCAUUUUUUUUUCUCUGCCCGUUCUGUUGGUUUUUGUCUUUUGCCCUUCUCCCCCGUCCCUCUUCUCAGCUGUUUCUCUUUCCCUCUUUCUUUCUCCCCUUCUUUCCCCCAGUCAAGUCUGUCCCGUAUUCAGUAAGUGAAAAUAAAAUAAACAAUAAAAGGUGAAUCAAAUGGACCAUUACGGCAAGGCUGGGAUGGUCAGUUUGGUAAAGUAAAUCCGUUGGGCAUCUUUCUUUGCCUUUAGACAACAAUUCUGAUGGCAAAAGAGCCAAACGGGACAGGCAAAAAAAAAAAAAAAAAAAAAAAAAAAAAGAAGAGGUACAGUAAAUAUGGUGAGCCUGAAUGUUGUCACCCUUGAAAUGCGGCAAGAUCGCCUGAUUUUAUACACUAACACUAUCACCAGGUGAAAUCCACCCAAAACCUACUUUACCCUCUAUCACUAUUGCCGGGUGAAAUUCACCCGAACACAUGCCUGUAGGAAAAAGCGGGAUUUGGGGUAGGGAAACACCCACGCCUUCAAAGACGUCAAAGACAAUGCUGAAGCUACCCAGGGAUCCACCACACUCAGACAAACGCAACAUAUUGAAAAUUAUGUAAAUACAUUUGCUCGGGUGAAAAUCACCCGGCGAUAGUGUUCUAGGGUUAAAAGAAUAUCACAAUCUCAAAUGUUGUCUUUGGGGGGCAACAUUAACUAUAAUAACCUCUUGUAGUUGAGAUUAAAUAUUCAUAGUAACUAGAAUUAUGACUUUCUUUAAUGCAAUUGAAAUGAGAAAUUAGCCAUUAUUUGUGUUGUACUCAUGGUUCUUUCUCCCUGUCACCCAAAUUGAGCAAAAGUGGUUAAAAUUCUUCAACAGAGAUUUUUUUUGUAUUGGAAAGUCUAACAAGGACAUCCAAGUUCACCGAGUAGACGACACAACUUUCAUUCUGAACAACAACCUUUUAUGAUAUCUACCUGCUUUCACAUGAAAAAAAAACUGUUAGGAAGCCUCGCUGAUGUAAGCAACCAGGGUAAUCUUCUUAUGCAUCUCACAAAUAUAAACCUCUUAACUUAUGUUCAGUUUUG